UAAAGAUCAUCUAAUUCGACCCCCCCUGCUAUGAGGGGGGUCACCUUCCACUAGACCAGGUUGCUCAAAGCCCCAUCCAACCUGGCCUUACCAGGUUCACAUGACAAUUCCUUUGAUGCCAAGUCCCUCUGAGAAAUACCAAGAGUCAUACCAAAUAAUGGACUCAUGACUCCAUGCUCAUGGUGCUCCAGUGAUCACUGUAGGAGCACAGGUCUUGUGGAGAUUUAUGUGCUUGUGCAGAGGAUGUCUUCAGAUGUGGUGUACUGCUUUCUCCCCUACCUCCUCUGCCCAACUGCAUCUUCCUUUCCUCAGCUCUUUAAGUUUCUGGUCUGAUUGCAGCUGUCAAAUCCUUUCUGCUAAAGCUUUUUUCUUCCUGUUUUUGAAGCAGUCUCUUCCAUCCACUCUUCUCAGCUGUACUCAGGUGAUAGCAAAUGCUCCUGCUACGGGGCCUUACUGUUUUGUGCUCUGGAAAGCCCCAUCAGUCAUUUUGGUAGUGCUCUCAGGUGAUAUCUGCAGUUCUCUUUGGAUUCUCUUGGCAAGCAUUGAAUGUUCUGGGUCUAGAUAGACCUGUGUGCAAUGUCGGCUCGUAGCCCAGCAGAGAUGGAGCAGGAGGAAGAGGCUGCAUGGCUGGAAGGCAGCGGAGAGAAGCAGUGCCCCAGGGUGGUGCUCACACACUGCUGUGUUUGAGUGCUCUGCCACCAUUGACACACACCGUUAUCUCCUCUCUCACAUUAAGGGCUGCUUUAUCCCUGAUAAAUCACAGAGCAGCCCAAACAGGCAUGAUUCGGGGCUGGUUUUCAUUUUAGAUGUGAGUGCACUUUACACAUGUACUUUAGGAGAAGCAGGUUGUGCGCUAGCUUUUAAAGCUUCCCGGAGAAGGACACGUCUGUCACCCCUGUGACCUUUGCAUGUGGCUACCACUCUGGUCACAAACAAAAUGCUAUUGGCACGUUUCAGGAUCACAGGCACAUUUGUCCUGCUGAAGCCUUCUCGGUGCCACUGAGGAAUCCUGCUCUGUCUCUGGGGACAGCUGCUUGGAUUUAGCCCACACAGCACCUACAGUUUCUUUCAUAUUUGCAUUCUUUUUAAGUAUUUAAUAAGUUUGUGUAACUUUUUGUUAAGCAGCAAGCAAAUGUUUUCCAGGGGAAGCUAAUUCAAGCACAUCCUCCUUGUGUAGGUUUGAUGUUAUGGAACAGUGAGUCUGUUGAAUUAAUUAGCAUACUGCACUUCACUUACUCAGCUAAUCUGCAUAUUUUGCUCCUGGGCUGAGGGAAGCCUCUGGGUGCUGCUGGAUGCUCGCUGCAGUCACAGCUCCAGCCCUGAGGCAGGUGGGCAUGCACACACAUGGCAGGUGUGUCACCAGCUGCCUCAUGCCCACAGGUUUUGCAGGUGCCCUGGGGUGCCUGACCCUGUUCUUGACUCAAACCAUGGUAAGUGGUACCACUGAGAAGCAGCAGUGCAAUCUGCCAGAAUUUGUGUUUGCUUGCUCCUCAUCCCGCACCCAAACCAGGGGCUGCACAGCAACCGGACAAUGCCAGCCCUCAUCCCCCCUCCACCCUGCCUGCCGUGGGGAAGAAAGAGCAGAGCUGCCCCAUAGCUCCCUCCUAGGGUGUGCUCAGAGGAAAACACACACACACUUCUGGGAUCCUGGCAUUUUUUCAUCUUGGCACAAAAUUCUCACAGAGAUGAUUAUUUGAAAGAUGAGUCACCAAAUACAAUAGCAAAGACACAUCCUUGACUUACUGGCAGAGAAGAGAGAUGUGACCAGCAUUAAGUCUCCAUGCAAUGUCUCCAUCACACAGUGUCUGGCAUUUAUUCUAAACAGCUCUCAGUCUUCAGCAGAAUUGUUUUUUCACAUCAGAAAUCCAGCUACUUUUCCAUCUGAAAUGUUCCUUA
This is a long non-coding RNA of Oxyura jamaicensis (ruddy duck), 1896 nucleotides long. RefSeq lists it as uncharacterized. The record is from RefSeq and is a predicted model, not a curated record. The transcript has 2 exons. NCBI's taxonomy places the organism in Eukaryota, Metazoa, Chordata, Aves, Anseriformes, Anatidae.